CGUCAAGCCAUGGAAGUCGGGAGUACCUGAAGUACGUCACCGCGAGGAUCGUACUAGGGUAAUACCGGUAACUGGGGCUAAGUCGUAACAAGGUAGCCGUACCGGAAGGUGCGGCUGGAACACCUCCUUUCUGGAGCGAAGUAUUCGUGUCUGUUGUUUAUAUAAAGGACAGACAACUAUUACUUGGGUAUGAAGGGUAAUGUACCCUGUCUGCUUGUUGAGAAUGUAUUCAAUAGUAUAAUAUAUCAUUCGAUCCGUAUGAGAGGGGUCGAAAUGAGUGGCGUGAGUCUGUACGGAGUACGAUCUGCUAUCCAGUCCUAUAGCUCAGUUGGUUAGAGCGCUACACUGAUAAUGUAGAGGUCGGCAGUUCAAAUCUGCCUGGGACUACGAAAGGACUUCAACCGGUGGGAUUGGAGGGACAACAACAAGGCAACAAACUCUUAGGGGGGAUUAGCUCAGCUGGCUAGAGCACCUGCCUUGCACGCAGGGGGUCGACGGUUCGAAUCCGUCAUUCUCCACAAAACAAAGAGAUCAUAGACAUAUCGGAAGAGAAGAAUAUAGUAGCAUUGUCCUGUAUGGAAAUACGGGAUGGUAUAAAACUACAAUAACCGUAUCAUGCCGUUAACGGUAUGAUAUGCGAGAGCAAAAAAAUAUAAGCAAAAGAAGGGCAGACGGUGGAUGCCUAGGCUCUAAGAGGCGACGAAGG
This 706-nucleotide unclassified non-coding RNA is filed under the name Porphyromonas canoris. RNAcentral's name for it is "partial contains 16S ribosomal RNA, 16S-23S ribosomal RNA intergenic spacer, and 23S ribosomal RNA". The stretch from base 1 to 130 matches the Rfam family "Bacterial small subunit ribosomal RNA", at positions 1395 to 1533 of the family's 1533-position model. The record is from RNAcentral. Lineage: Bacteria; Pseudomonadati; Bacteroidota; Bacteroidia; Bacteroidales; Porphyromonadaceae.